GGAAGUGCGUGCCAGCCUGGUGGCGGUCGCGGUCUUCAAAACCGUUGUGCGGAAUGACACAAGUUUCGCAGGUGGGUUCGAUUCCCAUGCACUUCCG
This 97-nucleotide transfer RNA is filed under the name Planctomycetota bacterium. RNAcentral's name for it is "Planctomycetes bacterium (hydrothermal vent metagenome) tRNA-Sec". It matches the Rfam family "Selenocysteine transfer RNA". The record is from RNAcentral. Lineage: Bacteria; Pseudomonadati; Planctomycetota.